RNAcentral lists this ribosomal RNA (1060 nucleotides) under Klebsiella michiganensis. RNAcentral's name for it is "partial 23S ribosomal RNA". It matches the Rfam family "Bacterial large subunit ribosomal RNA", at positions 1762 to 2819 of the family's 2925-position model. Lineage: Bacteria; Pseudomonadati; Pseudomonadota; Gammaproteobacteria; Enterobacterales; Enterobacteriaceae. The record is from RNAcentral.
UGGAGCUGAAAUCAGUCGAAGAUACCAGCUGGCUGCAACUGUUUAUUAAAAACACAGCACUGUGCAAACACGAAAGUGGACGUAUACGGUGUGACGCCUGCCCGGUGCCGGAAGGUUAAUUGAUGGGGUUAUCCUCGCGGAGAAGCUCUUGAUCGAAGCCCCGGUAAACGGCGGCCGUAACUAUAACGGUCCUAAGGUAGCGAAAUUCCUUGUCGGGUAAGUUCCGACCUGCACGAAUGGCGUAAUGAUGGCCAGGCUGUCUCCACCCGAGACUCAGUGAAAUUGAACUCGCUGUGAAGAUGCAGUGUACCCGCGGCAAGACGGAAAGACCCCGUGAACCUUUACUAUAGCUUGACACUGAACACUGGUCCUUGAUGUGUAGGAUAGGUGGGAGGCUUUGAAGUGUGGACGCCAGUCUGCAUGGAGCCAUCCUUGAAAUACCACCCUUUAAUGGCUGGUGUUCUAACGUGGGCCCGUAAUCCGGGUUGCGGACAGUGUCUGGUGGGUAGUUUGACUGGGGCGGUCUCCUCCUAAAGAGUAACGGAGGAGCACGAAGGUCAGCUAAUCCUGGUCGGACAUCAGGAGGUUAGUGCAAUGGCAUAAGCUGGCUUGACUGCGAGCGUGACGGCGCGAGCAGGUGCGAAAGCAGGUCAUAGUGAUCCGGUGGUUCUGAAUGGAAGGGCCAUCGCUCAACGGAUAAAAGGUACUCCGGGGAUAACAGGCUGAUACCGCCCAAGAGUUCAUAUCGACGGCGGUGUUUGGCACCUCGAUGUCGGCUCAUCACAUCCUGGGGCUGAAGUAGGUCCCAAGGGUAUGGCUGUUCGCCAUUUAAAGUGGUACGCGAGCUGGGUUUAGAACGUCGUGAGACAGUUCGGUCCCUAUCUGCCGUGGGCGCUGGAGAAUUGAGGGGGGCUGCUCCUAGUACGAGAGGACCGGAGUGGACGCAUCACUGGUGUUCGGGUUGUCAUGCCAAUGGCAUUGCCCGGUAGCUAAAUGCGGAAGAGAUAAGUGCUGAAAGCAUCUAAGCACGAAACUUGCCCCGAGAUGAGUUCUCCCUGAC